GCAGGUAUAGUACAGUGGUUAGUACAUCGCGUUGCCAACGCGAGGACGGCAGUUCGAAUCUGCUUACUUGCUCCA
Molecule: transfer RNA, 75 nt
Filed under: Candidatus Onthocola stercoravium
Lineage: Bacteria; Bacillati; Bacillota; Bacilli
Description: tRNA-Gly
Rfam family: tRNA
About the family: Transfer RNA (tRNA) molecules are approximately 80 nucleotides in length. Their secondary structure includes four short double-helical elements and three loops (D, anti-codon, and T loops).
Source: RNAcentral